UCCCGUAGUAAUGGCGAAUGAACAGGGAAAAGCUCAUAGCUGAAUCGCUCUGACGUGUCGUUAGGUGCGAGUUGUAGUGUUCGGUCAGUUUCGCGGGUUCAGGCGCGUUGCAUUAAGUCCAGGUUGAAUACGGCUUUGGCCGCAGAGGGUGAUAGUCCCGUAUUUGCAACGUGUUUGUUCCCUAGAGCUGAUCUGUGAGUCGAAUUGUUUGAGAUUGCAAUUCAAAUGUGUGUGGUAAACUCCAUACAAAGCUAAAUAUGGCGGCGGUGCCGAUAGCGAAGAAGUACCGUGAGGGAAAGUUGAAAAGGACUUUGAAAAGAGAGUUAAAUAGUACGUGAAACUGCACAUUGAAAAGCAAAUGGGUACGCUUAAAGUUUGGUCUUGACAAUUCAGGUGUGUUCACUGCUGUUUCGGUGGUGCACAUCGCAGUUUGUUGGCUAACGCCCUGCAUGACUUUGCCUCUUCUGCAGGCGCGAUGAAUUUCGCUGAUAUCGAUUACAUCGGUAUGAGUGAAUCGUGGUUGGACGUGUCCGCAAGGACACAGGCGUGGUUAAGCAGUCGCUUUUAUCAAAAAGCGGCAUCGGUCAGUUGAGGUAGAGUCUUUGAACUCUAAUCGGGCAUUCCAUUGACGUACUCGUUGUGUCUGCGGUGAAUUGUUUCGGCGCUAGCCGUUAUGAUUUCUCUCCGUGGAUGUUUCGAGUCGCGUCGAAUGCACGUUGAAGGCAGGAUGAAUGGCGGCAUCAUUUGAACCGUCUUGAAACACGGGCUAAGGAGUUCAACAAAUGCGCGAGUUAUCCAGUCAGUUAGAAACUGGGUAGCACAGCCAACGCGAAUUUGUUAAUAAUUGUGGUAACCGGCUGCGAUUGCUCGCUGGUCGGAUCAUCACCUAUGAUGGAUGGCACGUAAGGUACUGGUUGUCGUUCGCACUCGAGCGCACAUGUUGAGACCCGAAAGAUGGUGAACUAUGCCUGAAUAGGAUGAAGCCGGAGGAAACUCUGGUGGAGGUCCGUAGCGUUUUUGACGUGCAAAUCAAUCGUCAGAUUUGGGUAUAGGGGCGAAAGACUAAUCGAACCAUCUAGUAGCUGGUUCCCUUCGAAGUUUCC
RNAcentral lists this ribosomal RNA (1103 nucleotides) under Neoechinorhynchus agilis. Its description in RNAcentral is "partial large subunit ribosomal RNA". It matches the Rfam family "Eukaryotic large subunit ribosomal RNA", at positions 76 to 971 of the family's 3401-position model. The record is from RNAcentral. Lineage: Eukaryota; Metazoa; Acanthocephala; Eoacanthocephala; Neoechinorhynchida; Neoechinorhynchidae.